UACGGGGGGGGCAAGCGUUGUUCGGAAUUACUGGGCGUAAAGGGCUCGUAGGCGGCCAACUAAGUCAGACGUGAAAUCCCUCGGCUUAACCGGGGAACUGCGUCUGAUACUGGAUGGCUUGAGUUCGGGAGAGGGAUGCGGAAUUCCAGGUGUAGCGGUGAAAUGCGUAGAUAUCUGGAGGAACACCGGUGGCGAGGGCGGCAUCCUGGACCGACACUGACGCUGAGGAGCGAAAGCCAGGGGAGCAAACGGG
This 253-nucleotide ribosomal RNA is filed under the name uncultured bacterium. Its description in RNAcentral is "partial 16S ribosomal RNA". It matches the Rfam family "Bacterial small subunit ribosomal RNA", at positions 524 to 776 of the family's 1533-position model. The record is from RNAcentral.